This 230-nucleotide unclassified non-coding RNA is filed under the name Hevea brasiliensis (rubber tree). The record is from RNAcentral. Lineage: Eukaryota; Viridiplantae; Streptophyta; Magnoliopsida; Malpighiales; Euphorbiaceae.
CAGAGUAAAGCUAGUCACGACAUAUGAGCUGUUACCAACAAAUGCAGGAAGAGACCUUGCUGCAUACUUCCUCCCCGCGAAGGCGACCAUGAAACCACUAGUAAGAAUAGCAGUGGAGGCUGUCGUCGUCGUAUUGAUAGUGAGAAGAGAGAUCUCGUCGACCUUGGGCCGAAACAGUGCGAUCUGCGCGUUGCCGCCGGAGGAGAGCGGGAGGCGAUUAUCGCAGGGGG